RNAcentral lists this transfer RNA (132 nucleotides) under Aspergillus niger. RNAcentral's name for it is "tRNA-Ala". The record is from RNAcentral. Lineage: Eukaryota; Fungi; Ascomycota; Eurotiomycetes; Eurotiales; Aspergillaceae.
GGGCCUAUGGCGCAAUUGGUAGCGCGUAGUAAGUUCCACUUGCAUUCCAACAGACUGCAAAAACAUCCUUCUAACAGAUUGAAAUAGCGACUCCAGAUCGUAAGGUUGUCCGAUCGAGCCGGGCUGGGCUCA